AUUGAACGCUGGCGGCAUGCUUUACACAUGCAAGUCGAGCGGCAGCGCGGGGGCAACCCUGGCGGCGAGCGGCGAACGGGUGAGGAACACAUCGGAACGUGCCCCGGAGUGGGGGAUAACGCCGCGAAAGCGGCGCUAAUACCGCAUAUGCUCUGAGGAGGAAAGCGGGGGACCAGUAAUGGCCUCGCGCUCUGGGAGCGGCCGAUGUCCGAUUAGCUAGNGGUGGGGUAAUGGCCCACCAAGGCGACGAUCGGUAGCUGGUCUGAGAGGAUGAUCAGCCACACUGGGACUGAGACACGGCCCAGACUCCUACGGGAGGCAGCAGUGGGGAAUUUUGGACAAUGGGGCAACCCUGAUCCAGCCAUGCCGCGUGCGGGAAGAAGGCC
RNAcentral lists this ribosomal RNA (386 nucleotides) under uncultured bacterium. RNAcentral's name for it is "bacterial SSU rRNA". It matches the Rfam family "Bacterial small subunit ribosomal RNA", at positions 28 to 416 of the family's 1533-position model. The record is from RNAcentral.